Molecule: non-coding RNA, 101 nt
Organism: Mycena albidolilacea
Lineage: Eukaryota; Fungi; Basidiomycota; Agaricomycetes; Agaricales; Mycenaceae
Source: the annotation of a GenBank genome assembly
GGCUCGGUGAUGGAUUUUCCACGUCUGUCUUUGGUACUUAUCACGGCGUUCAUCGUUAUUCCAUUAAGCAGAAGAUGCCUGUUCGAAUCAGGCCUGAGCCA